This 329-nucleotide unclassified non-coding RNA is filed under the name soil metagenome. Its description in RNAcentral is "partial contains 5.8S ribosomal RNA, internal transcribed spacer 2, and large subunit ribosomal RNA". The stretch from base 1 to 120 matches the Rfam family "5.8S ribosomal RNA", at positions 35 to 154 of the family's 154-position model. The record is from RNAcentral.
GAUGAAGAACGCAGCGAAAUGCGAUAAGUAAUGUGAAUUGCAGAAUUCAGUGAAACAUCGAAUCUUUGAACGCACAUUGCGCCCCCUGGUAUUCCGGGGGGCAUGCCUGUCCGAGCGUCAUUACAACCCUCAAGCUCAGCUUGGUGUUGGGCCCCGCCGCCCCGGCGGGCCCUAAAGUCAGUGGCGGUGCCGUCCGGCUCCGAGCGUAGUAAUUCUUCUCGCUCUGGAGGUCCGGUCGUGUGCUCGCCAGCAACCCCCAAUUUUUUUCAGGUUGACCUCGGAUCAGGUAGGGAUACCCGCUGAACUUAAGCAUAUCAAUAAGCGGAGGA